This 183-nucleotide long non-coding RNA is filed under the name Octopus sinensis (East Asian common octopus). RNAcentral describes it as "uncharacterized LOC118765340". Lineage: Eukaryota; Metazoa; Mollusca; Cephalopoda; Octopoda; Octopodidae. The record is from RNAcentral.
UAAAUAUAACAAAGAAUUUAGUAAAAUAACUUAGUUAUCAUUCAGCUAGUGUUAGGAACAUAAAUUGCGACUAAGGUUUGGUGGAAGAUUUUAAUGCAAAACUUAUGAAAACAAGAGAUUUGUACUCAAGAGCUAGAGCCAGUUUUAGCCAGGUUGGUAGCGAAAGGGUUAAAAGAUUUUUUU